CUCCUUUUGGUGUAGUUGGUUUAUCACGUUCGACUGUAAUGGAAGCUCAAUGCCAUCGAAAGGUCCCUAGUUCGAUUCUGGGAAGGGAGA
Molecule: non-coding RNA, 90 nt
Organism: Saccharata proteae CBS 121410
Lineage: Eukaryota; Fungi; Ascomycota; Dothideomycetes; Botryosphaeriales; Saccharataceae
Source: the annotation of a GenBank genome assembly